RNAcentral lists this long non-coding RNA (224 nucleotides) under Carica papaya (papaya). RNAcentral describes it as "long non-coding RNA (CPAP_LNC013866)". Lineage: Eukaryota; Viridiplantae; Streptophyta; Magnoliopsida; Brassicales; Caricaceae. The record is from RNAcentral.
UUAUUAUAUUCAGCUAACCUAUCUCUUCAUUUUUUUCAAAUAAAAACAAAUCAAUCCUAAUUGAUGAUUUUGUCAUUUUUAGUUUGAUUUGUAUAUUCAAAUUCUUCUUCAAUUGAAUUAAUAUGACAACAAAUUUUUUUUUUCCUUAUUUAAAUUUAUUAAUUAAUUCAAGUAAGAAAAUCUGGACAAAAAUGCUGGAUAAUUAAUAAUACUAUUAAAAUAAA